CACUUCAGCAGCACAGAAGGCAUUUCAGUCUCUCUGAGUGACUGCAGGACUAUAGUGACUUUUUAAUCUUCUUAAUUUUUUUGUGAAUUUUGAGCACAAACCAUCUGGACUUGUGGGUUAGAAACAGGAGAAAGAUAAACAUGCUUCUCAUUUUCACCUUGUACCUGAUUUCAGACAGAGGAAAAAUGGGAUCUUAAAGGAAAAUUCUUUGCCGUGGAUGAAAUUCCGGCUGGAGUUUAUAGCGUGCUCAUUAGAAAUUUAAGCCAGGAGGAUGGAGGAAAUUACAGAUUUGGAGUGGAAGACCAAAAUGAAAACCUGUUAAAUGUGGAGCUGGAUGUGGAAAAUGGUCUGUAUUAUGGAAAGUCAUUUUCACAGACGACUCAUCCUGGAGACGUUGUUACCUUCAGCUGUACAUAUCCAGAAGGGCAUGAAAAUGACAUGAAAAGUGUGUACAAAGUGACCAGUCAGAGCAUAUUCGCCAUCAUAUUCACUUAUUCAGACUAUGAAAACAAAGACAAGUAUGUUCUUCACGUCUCCUCGAGAGAUAAAGUCAUCAAUAUGAGCAUCAGCAAUGUGACGGUGGAUGAUGGAGGACUUUAUCUGUGUGGAGUUUUAAAGAAUAAGCCUUCUUAUGUGUCCAUCUUCAGUGAAAUGCAGCUUGAAGUUACUGCUCCAGCUUCCUCAUCGGCCAUCAUCAUCACUGUGUACGUCGGUGUGGCUCUGCUGCUGAUCGCAGGAUUUACGCUGAUCUUCUACAAACUGUGGUCCACGAAGGCAAAAGAUGCUUCCUCGCCAGCCGACAGAGGAAACCCAGUGAACAGAGAGGGUGCCUACUCUGCCUAUUAUGAGAAGAUUCAGGACACACAGGCCGCUACUGUUUAUGUCAGCGCCCAGAAACCCCAAACUCAUCCUAUCUUUCCAAAUCUGUCUGGUAGAACUGCGACUUCUACAAGUUAGCACAAAAGCAACAUCUCCAAACACAGCUGAUCAAAACCCCAUGGUCCAGCUUUCCAAAACAAAAAAUGUAAUUAUUAUUAUUAUUAUUAUUAUUAUUAUUAUUAUUUUCACACAUUUUAAUUGUUGAUUUACCCACUAACCCCUCCAAUUUACCCACAAACCCCUCUGGUUCCCCGACAUGCACUGUAAUUUAUCCACAGACCACAGCAAUCAUAGAAAUCAUGUGAAUUGUCGCAUGAUCAGUUUGUGUAGCAACGAUAUUAUAGCACUUCCUUUUAAAGUUUCAGAAUGUCCAGAGGAAGUGAGUGAAGAAGGACAAGUCUGUUCUGCUUUUUAUAACCAUUACUGUUUAUUAUUGUUAUGAUAUCAGCACAUCCGAUUGAAAUUAAUCACAAAUAUUGCAUGUAUGAGGUAUAAUUCUGAUAUUUAAAUGAAUUAACACAUCAAACAGACAUAUUUUCUUAUUUUCUUUUUGUGAAAAGUUUACUAUAAUGAUGAUGACAAUCAGUUUUUUUACAGCACUGGGGAAACCCUACCUCAGAAACUGAUCCAUCCAGGUUUUGUCCUUUCUCACUUUGACUAUUACAAUGCAUCACUAACAGGACUUCCUACAACUUGUGUAAAAUGCAGAAGCAGGAAUAUUAGCAUGUUGUCAAAAACAGGGCUUUAUUAGAGAAGUUCCAGCAUCACUAAACUGGCUGCCUGCUUCCUAUAACAUUGACUCUAACAUUUUAUCACUAGUUGAUAGCACCUUCACACACAGAGGUCUCUGAAAAACUUUAGACUGCUUUAGACUGCUCCAUUUUUAGGCUCCACUGAAAAAAAGUAGUAAAUAAAAAUAAAAUAAAAAUAAAAAAAACAUUGUUCUCAUUUUAGCAUUGAACUAGUUUUGCAUUAUUUUCAUUAAUUUUGCUGGUACAUUACAUCUAUAUUAUUUUCAUUGCAGUUUUAUUUUAUUUUUUUUACAAGUUUCGGAUCGAUCCUGAGGUCGGGUUACUGUCUGUGUGGGGUUUUGCAUGUUCUUUCCGUGUCCAUGUGAGUUUCCUGCAGGUUCUUGGGUUUCCUCCAACCUCCCCAAAACAUGCCAGUAGGUGGAUUAGGAAGGUGGAUCAGGACUGGAGACCCACUCACCUCACACUGGUGUUCCAGGAUAGGCACUGGAUCCACCAUGACCCUGAUCAGGAUAAAGCGCUUACUAAAAGCGAGGGAGUGAGAGUGUUAAUAGUGAUAUUUCUUUUUGCUAUUAUUUGCCUAUAUUGUUAUUUUUCAUGACGACUGUUUGGUUAUUUUCUUCUCUUGUAUUUUUUUUUACUACAUAUUGUAAUUCACUGCAAUAUAAAUGUAUGAAAUGUGCUAUAUAAAUAAAGUUGUUUAUUAUAAUAAUAAUUAUUAUUAUUAUUAUUAUUAUUAUUAUAUAGAAGAGAAGUAGAAGUGUAGACUGUGACAUUUACAUAGAGGGGGAGAGAGAGGGAGGGAGGAGGAAGUAAAAUACUAUUUAGUUCACAGAAAAUCAUUCUGACAAGAUUAAAGCAUUAUGCAGUAAAGUGAAUUGCACCUGCAGCUUGAAUUGAACACUCUGCUCGUUCUUAUCAUCUGUCUUAUCCGAGGUAAGUGAUAAGUUUACUUGUGUGCUGGUGCUGCUUUGUGUUAUUGUGCAUCGGAGGAUGUAACGAUUAUUAUGUGACGCCAAAGCUAAAACUGAGACACACAACAAACUAAACUGCUUAUGAGUGUUUGGUCUGCUGUAAUGAUGAUACAGUUAUCAUCUAGAAUGGGAAACCAGAAACGACACAUCCUCAGGCUUUUUGUUAUCAUGUAAAACAAGUACUCAUCUGUACUUAAUUGAUUCAAUUAGACUAUAUAUUUGGUACAUAAAUUAUAUUUGGUGCAUAUAAGCUCUAAAUAUAUAAAAACACUGCAUGCACUUUAUCAUAUGAUAGUUACAGAUGUCAAAAAAAAAAACCACAACCCUUCCAACCCUUCUUCCAACAACACAGUACACCAAGUACACCAUGACAUCAUCAUCAUCUUUAUCCCAUACAUCAGGUACCUCUGUGGGCAUCAUUGUCUCAGUCUCUGUGGUUCUUCUGCUCUUUGCUAUUCUUCUCUACUUGUUUCUUAAAUGGAAACAAAAUAAACACGAUCACAGUUCCUCAUCACACACUGUGAACACAGAUGACUUAAACAACCGACAGCUUGGACAUACUGAAGAGGACUAUGAGGAGAUUAAAGACUACAAAUUUCACACAGAUCUACACACUAUUUACAACAAUGUUGACAUACCCACUGAUCCCUCAGAGUCACCUACUGAGCUUGAACAUACUGCAGAGGAUUUCGAUGAGAUUAAAGACACGAAAUAUCAUCCAGAACUAUGUAGUGUUAACACCAUUACUGAAGCGCCAGCAGAUCCCUCAGAUCAACCCGCAGAUCCGACUGAAAGCCACGAGUACAACACAGUGAUCUUCCUGGAGAAUUCACACUGCUCUGAACUCGAAACUUCCAGCUCUGUGAUACAGGAGAUAAAUGAGUGAUGUCUCUACCUGUCAAUCAUCUGUCAAGAGUCCUGACUCCUGAUAUUUUUCAUUAUAGAAGAUGUGAAGUGUAAAUUGUUGUUUCUAAAAUAUACACAGGUGUGUUAGAUACUUAUGUUUUACUGUGACUACAUUUCAUUUGACUGUUUUAUAGCAGAAAUAUGGUACUUUUCAUUAGAUUAUGUUAAUGCUUACCUUUAUCAAUGUGUAUCACUGUUUUAUUUUAGUUGUGUUACUAUAGGCUUAAUUAUCACAAAAAUAAAUAACUAAACCCUACAUACUACAAUACUACAUAUAAUGUGUUAUGCUUGAAUAGGAGAACUGUUUGCUGGUUUUGUUGCAUACUUUUUUUUUUUUUUACAUUUUUCCAUGCGUUAAUAAUAAAUGUCGAGAAAUGGGAUGAAUGAACUGCGAUUGCUCAUGUUUGCAGUGUGGAUGCAUUUCCUAUAUUUACAUUUACAUUUACAGCAUUUAUCAGAUACCCAUAUCCAGAGCAACUGACAGAAGUGCUUUACAGUCUCUAUUAAAAACACAUCCUCCUGCUACUUCACUAGUUCAGGGACUAAGAGUACCAUCAGUCUAAAAACCCUGUUGGAGAGGAUUUCUUAAGAGAUUAACAAAGUGCUAAUUUAAGUGAUUGGUGAAGAGGUAGGUCUUUAGUCUUCAUUUGAAGACAGCCAGGGACUCACCUGUUUGGGCAGCCAGACGAAGGAGUGCCAGGACAGAGAAGAGUCUUAAUGCAGGUCUUUCUUGUAUCCUGAGAGAU
Pangasianodon hypophthalmus (striped catfish) is the source of this 4254-nucleotide RNA transcript. It is a transcript of the gene named polymeric immunoglobulin receptor, with no coding region annotated. The transcript is spliced from 10 exons. The record is from RefSeq and is a predicted model, not a curated record. Lineage: Eukaryota; Metazoa; Chordata; Actinopteri; Siluriformes; Pangasiidae.